GAUGAACGCUGACAGAAUGCUUAACACAUGCAAGUCUUUGGCGAAGCUGUGCUUGCACAGCCUAGCCAAGGCGGACGGGUGAGUAACGCGUAAGGAACUUGCCCUGCAGUCAGGGAUAACAGACGGAAACGACUGAUAAGACCUGGUAAAGUCAGGCGGACUCAUGUCCAGCCUGAUGAAAAGAGAUGCUGCAGGAGAGCCUUGCGUCCUAUUAGCUUGUUGGUGGGGUAACGGCCCACCAAGGCGAUGAUAGGUAGCCGGCCUGAGAGGGUGGACGGCCACAAGGGGACUGAGAUACGGCCCUUACUCCUAUGGGAGGCAGCAGUGGGGAAUAUUGGACAAUGGGGGCAACCCUGAUCCAGCAAUUCUGUGUGCACGAUGAAGGUUUUCGGAUUGUAAAGUGCUUUCAGCAGGGAAGAAAAAAAUGACGGUACCUGCAGAAGAAGCGACGGCUAAAUACGUG
Molecule: ribosomal RNA, 463 nt
Filed under: uncultured bacterium
Lineage: Bacteria
Description: partial 16S ribosomal RNA
Rfam family: Bacterial small subunit ribosomal RNA
Source: RNAcentral